GAAAGGCAAGGAUGUUCAUAUAGGUCUGUUAAACAACGAUGAAAUUAUGGACUUAGGAUUGCUAAAUUAGCAUGUAUUGUAUAAAGCGAGAAAAAUCAUUUGGCUGUGAAGCAUGGGUCUGUGUUCUGGGAAGAGGAUGAGGAGACCAAUGAAAAACUGAGAGAGAGAGAGAGAGAGAGAGAAGGCUUUUAAAUGCACUUCCAUCUUAGAAGAUUUGGUCCUACUAAGAAACAAUAUCAUGUCAAGGCACAUAAAGCCAUUCAAGGUCAAAGGAUAAAGCAUGUUACUUGUAUUCUAUUUUAGCAUACAGAAAAUGUUUUGUGGAGGAACCUGUGUGUCUUUCUUCAGUUUAUUGUUCAAAUUUCUGAUCUAAAUAAAUUUUGGAAUAGUACUUAUGGCUUAAGGACGACCAUGCUUACUGAAGUUGUCUCAGUCUAUUGCCGCAGAUUUCUCAUCUCUUAAAACCACUACUUUCAAUCUGUUUAUUUCAUAUAUCGCAUAAAGAGUCUUGGUUCUAUAGGUGGAAUCGAAUUCAAUACAAUGAAAAGGUGGAAACCAUUUUCCAGGGCGUGAGAUGCAUUUUUGAUUGCUGACCUUGCUAUUACAUGGGAGAGGAUGCUAUUGGAGAUGCAAUAUGGUCAUCUUUUGUUGGUAUGCCAUCAAAAUGCAAUUUUUUCUUUUGCAGUUCUCUGCAAAUGAUUAAAUUACUAUUAGAUGAGUUGUGCUUUGUGGUACAAAUAGUAAUAUGAAUUUUUUAUCUUGCAGUUGCACUUAAGUGCUCUAAGAGUGGCAGUGAUCAUUUACUUGAAGGUAGCAUGUCAGAUCCUCUUUGACUUGCUACAUGUCCUUUGUAAGCUGAAAGUCGGCAAACAUCAAUAUGCAGGAGUCUACGUCUUUGCAUCUGUUUGGCAGCUAGGUAGAAGAUUACAGGCACACACAGAAACUCAAUAUUGGAAGCCAUAGUGAACAUGUCAAUAUUCACAAUUGAUUCUAUGUUUGACAUUUUGGAAUUUUUUGAAGGUUGGCUCUAUAUUUUUCUUGGUUUCCUUAGUGGAAAGGUCUGCACUUCCUAAUUCUGCUAGAUUGUCCAUUCUUCUGAAAUGUUGGUAGAACUUUAGGAAUCAUUUCUUUGUUGUUUGAAAUCUGUAGUUAGCAUUUCAUCACUCUCUCUCUCUCUC
Molecule: long non-coding RNA, 1178 nt
Filed under: Phoenix dactylifera (date palm)
Lineage: Eukaryota; Viridiplantae; Streptophyta; Magnoliopsida; Arecales; Arecaceae
Description: long non-coding RNA (PDAC_LNC014645)
Source: RNAcentral